GACGAACGCUGGCGGCGUGCCUAAUACAUGCGAGUAGAACGCACAGUUUAUACCGUAGCUUGCUACACCAUAGACUGUGAGUUGCGAACGGGUGAGUAACGCGUAGGUAACCUGCCUGGUAGCGGGGGAUAACUAUUGGAAACGAUAGCUAAUACCGCAUAAUAUUAAUUAUUGCAUGAUAAUUAAUUGAAAGGUGCAAUUGCACCACUACCAGAUGGACUUGCGUUGUAUUAGCUAGUAGGUGAGGUAACGGCUCACCUAGGCGGCGAUACAUAGCCGAACUGAGAGGGUGGUCGGCCACACUGGGAGGGAGACACGGCCCAGACGGCUAGGGGAAGGAGCAGUAGGGAAACUGGGGGAAGGGACGAGAGACAGAGCGAGCAAGGCCGCGGGAGGGAAGAAGGAUGUCGGGUCGGAGAGGUCGGUUGUAAGGGAGGAACGGGUGUGAGAGUGGAAAGUUCACAGUGUGACGGUAACUUACCAGAAAGGGACGGCUAACUACGUG
RNAcentral lists this ribosomal RNA (505 nucleotides) under uncultured bacterium. RNAcentral describes it as "partial 16S ribosomal RNA". It matches the Rfam family "Bacterial small subunit ribosomal RNA", at positions 28 to 507 of the family's 1533-position model. The record is from RNAcentral.